This 413-nucleotide small RNA is filed under the name Pongo abelii (Sumatran orangutan). RNAcentral's name for it is "processed transcript". The record is from RNAcentral. Lineage: Eukaryota; Metazoa; Chordata; Mammalia; Primates; Hominidae.
GAACCUGUACUGGGUUAUUUUUGUCCCUGCUCCUCCCAACCCAAUUCAGGACUGGCUCACCCCUCUCCCCCACCCAAGGCUGCAGAGGCUGUGGGAGGUGCUGGGCCCUAGAGCUGUGUGUCCAGCCAGUCCUGGGUCCCCAAGAUUGACCAGCCACACACUGGGCUGGUGACCUGAGGAGGCUCGGCUUUGUAGAGCCCCGCUCAGGCACAGGGAGGAGAGGCCAGGGCUCCUGCCUUUUGCCACAUUGGCCUCCUGCAGUGAGGGCUCCGUGGGCUGGGGCUGCUGCCCCUGCCUACUUCCUGCCUGUCCCCAGAGGCUGAGGAGGGGGGGUACUGUGCCCACCACACGAUUAGGCCUCAGACCCAACUGUGGUCCUGGCUCCACGACAGUGGCUGCCACUCACUUUGUCC